Molecule: ribosomal RNA, 440 nt
Filed under: uncultured bacterium
Lineage: Bacteria
Description: partial 16S ribosomal RNA
Rfam family: Bacterial small subunit ribosomal RNA
Source: RNAcentral
CCUACGGGCGGCAGCAGUAGGGAAUAUUGCGCAAUGGGGGAAACCCUGAAGCAGCAACGCCGCGUGGAGGAUGAAGGUUUUCGGAUUGUAAACUCCUGUUGUUAGAGAAGAGAAUGACGGUAUCUAACGAAUAAGCACCGGCUAACUCCGUGCCAGCAGCCGCGGGAAUACGGAGGGGGCAAGCGUUACUCGGAAUCACUGGGCGGAAAGAGCGCGUCGGCGGGAUAGCAAGUAAGAUGUGAAAGCCUAUGGCUUAACCAUAGAACUGCAUUUGAAACUGUUAUUCUAGAGUAUGGGAGAGGUAGGUGGAAUUCUUUGUGUAGUGGUCAAAUCCGUAGAGAUCAAGAGGAAUACUCAUUGCGAAGGCGACCUGCUAGUCCAUAACUGACGCUGAUGCGCGAAAGCGUGGGGAGCAAACAGGAUUAGAUACCCCAGUAGUC